Molecule: long non-coding RNA, 668 nt
Organism: Colossoma macropomum (tambaqui)
Lineage: Eukaryota; Metazoa; Chordata; Actinopteri; Characiformes; Serrasalmidae
Exons: 3
Source: RefSeq, a predicted model, not a curated record
CUCUUUGGAUGAAGAUUAUGAAAAAAAGAAGUCUGAGAAUAUAAUAACAGAAGAAGGGUCAGAGGAUUCCCUGAACUUUCACCAAGGUCCAGCCCACACACAGUCCUUACCUUGCCUGCACCAUCGCACUCAUCCCUCUCAGAAAGACGAAGAGGAAUCAACAUAAAUGUGAAAGGAUGUUCUGCCAUUAUGAAAAACUGAUUUCUCAACUUUUCAAUUUCCGUUUGUUUUCAUUUAAGCUGAAAUAUAGUGCUAUGCAAAAGAAAUCUGCAGGAAUUUUUUCUAUACCUCAAAGUUCAGUCUUAGAAGUUGGUUGCAUUUUCUGCUUCUCAUGGUCCAAGUAAUCCCAAACACAUUCAGUGCUGUUGAGGUCUGGACUCUGGGGUGGUCAGUCCACUGUUCUGAGAACACCAGCAGCUUAUUUGUUUGUUUCGUCCAUUAUCUUUUCUCAGUACUUACUUCUUGUCAGCUACACAUCUAUUUAGACUCAUAGUGUUGAGUUGCCUUCUCACAGUGGAAGGAUGGACAGAAACACCUUUGGAUUCAAGUGGAGCUUGAUUUUCCUCUCUCUCUCUCAAAAAUGAAAGGCUCGGUUUAUUUAAUGGGGACAGUGCUGGUGGUCUACCAGGUCUUUCAGGUGGUUGUUAGGAAUCCUAUUUCUUUAUAUC